Molecule: ribosomal RNA, 802 nt
Filed under: Microsporidium sp. SYN
Lineage: Eukaryota; Fungi; Microsporidia
Description: partial 16S ribosomal RNA
Rfam family: Microsporidia small subunit ribosomal RNA
Source: RNAcentral
UGCAUGUGCAAGCGAAGCCGGUGGUGGAGCGGCGCAAGGCUCAGUAACGGGCGACUGAUUUGAUCUCCCGGUGUGGACAACCUCUGUAACCGGAGGCCAAAACACAGGAGGCGCGUGACACGGGCACGGGCGUGCAACCGGCAGGUGCGGGAGAGUAAGGAGCCAUCCCAUCAGUUAGUAAGUAGGGUAAGGGCCUACUUAGACGAAGACGGGUACGGGGAAUUAGAGUUCGAUUCCGGAGAGGGAGCCUGAGAGACGGCUACCAGGUCCAAGGACAGCAGCAGGCGCGGAAAUUACCGAAGCCCGCGUUCGGGGCGGUAGUAAGGAGACGUGAAUACGAUGUGCAGGUAAAAUAUGCACUGGUAACAGGAGGUCAAGACUGGUGCCAGCAUCCGCGGUAAUACCAGCUCCUGGAGUGUCUAUGAUGAUUGUUGCAGUUAAAGAGUUCGUAGUCGGGCUGCAUGACCGGCGCUGAAGGCUCCCUAUCGAGGGGGGCAGGGCGCCGGAAAAGCAGAGGAUGAGGAGCGGCCGGGGGCCAGGUUAUUAAGCGACGAGAGGUGAAAUUUGAUGACUCGCUUAGGAGCAGCAGAGGCGAAAGCGCUGGCCAGGGGCGAAUCCGAUGAUAAAGGACGUAGGCUAGAGGAUCGAAGACGAUUAGAGACCGUUGUAGUUCUAGCAGUAAACGAUGCCGAUGCCGUGGGGCGGUGCAGCCGCCACGCGGAGGAGAAAUUGAGUAGGGCCCUGGGGAGAGUACACGCGCAAGCGAGAAAUUUAAAGGAAAUUGACGGAAGAACACCCCAAG